Molecule: ribosomal RNA, 432 nt
Filed under: uncultured bacterium
Lineage: Bacteria
Description: partial 16S ribosomal RNA
Rfam family: Bacterial small subunit ribosomal RNA
Source: RNAcentral
AACGAACGCUGGCGGCAUGCCUAACACAUGCAAGUCGAACGAGACCUUCGGGUCUAGUGGCGCACGGGUGCGUAACGCGUGGGAACCUGCCCUUAGGUUCGGAAUAACUCCCCGAAAGGGGUGCUAAUACCGGAUAAUGUCUUCGGACCAAAGAUUUAUCGCCUUUGGAUGGGCCCGCGUUGGAUUAGCUAGUUGGUAGGGUAAAAGCCUACCAAGGCGACGAUCCAUAGCUGGUCGGAGAGGAUGAUCAGCCACACUGGGACUGAGACACGGCCCAGACCCCUAGGGGGGGCAGCGGUGGGGAAAAUAGGGAAGGGGGCAAAAGGCAGAACCGGCACGGCCGGGGUGGUGGGGAAGGCCUUGGGGUGGGAAAGCUCUUUUCCCCGGGAGGGAAAGAAGGGAACGGGGAAAAAAAGCCCGGGUAACCCCCUU